GGGUCAGUAGGUUGGUCGUGCUAUUGGUACGUACUGGUCUCACUGAUUCCUCCUUCCUGAAGAACCGUAAUGCCAUUAAUUUGGUGUUGCGGGGAAACAGGACUGUUACUUUGAAAAAAUUAGAGUGUUUAAAGCAAGCUAACGCUUGAAUACAUUAGCAUGGAAUAAUGAAAUAGGACGAUCGAUCCUAUUUUGUUGGUUCCUAGGAUUGACGUA
Molecule: ribosomal RNA, 216 nt
Filed under: Glomeromycotina sp.
Lineage: Eukaryota; Fungi; Glomeromycota
Description: partial small subunit ribosomal RNA
Rfam family: Eukaryotic small subunit ribosomal RNA (bases 40-216)
Source: RNAcentral